AGUCGAGCGGUACAUUUCUAGCUUGCUAGAAGAUGACGAGCGGCGGACGGGUGAGUAAUGCUUGGGAACAUGCCUUGAGGUGGGGGACAACAGUUGGAAACGACUGCUAAUACCGCAUAAUGUCUACGGACCAAAGGGGGCUUCGGCUCUCGCCUUUAGAUUGGCCCAAGUGGGAUUAGCUAGUUGGUGAGGUAAUGGCUCACCAAGGCAACGAUCCCUAGCUGGUUUGAGAGGAUGAUCAGCCACACUGGAACUGAGACACGGUCCAGACUCCUACGGGAGGCAGCAGUGGGGAAUAUUGCACAAUGGGCGAAAGCCUGAUGCAGCCAUGCCGCGUGUGUGAAGAAGGCCUUCGGGUUGUAAAGCACUUUCAGUCAGGAGGAAAGGGUGUGAGUUAAUACCUCACAUCUGUGACGUUACUGACAGAAGAAGCACCGGUUAACUCCGUGCCAGCAGCCGCGGUAAUACGGAGGGUGCGAGCGUUAAUCGGAAUUACUGGGCGUAAAGCGUACGCAGGCGGUUUGUUAAGCGAGAUGUGAAAGCCCCGGGCUCAACCUGGGAACUGCAUUUCGAACUGGCAAACUAGAGUGUGAUAGAGGGCGGUAGAAUUUCAGGUGUAGCGGUGAAAUGCGUAAAGAUCUGAAGGAAUACCGAUGGCGAAGGCAGCCACCUGGGUCAACACUUGACCUCAUGUACCAAAGCGGGGGGAGCAAACGGGAUUAGAUACCCCGGGAGUCCCCGCCCGUAAAGAAUGUCUACUAAAAGCCCGG
RNAcentral lists this ribosomal RNA (770 nucleotides) under uncultured Gammaproteobacteria bacterium. RNAcentral describes it as "bacterial SSU rRNA". It matches the Rfam family "Bacterial small subunit ribosomal RNA", at positions 60 to 827 of the family's 1533-position model. The record is from RNAcentral. Lineage: Bacteria; Pseudomonadati; Pseudomonadota; Gammaproteobacteria.